GAUGAACGCUGGCGGCGUGCCUAAUACAUGCAAGUCGAGCGAACAGAUGAGGAGCUUGCUCCUCUGACGUUAGCGGCGGACGGGUGAGUAACACGUGGAUAACCUACCUAUAAGACUGGGAUAACUUCCGGAAACCGGAGCUAAUACCGGAUAAUAUAUUGAACCGCAUGGUUCAAUAGUGAAAGACGGUUUUGCUGUCACUUAUAGAUGGAUCCGCGCCGCAUUAGCUAGUUGGUAAGGUAACGGCUUACCAAGGCAACGAUGCGUAGCCGACCUGAGAGGGUGAUCGGCCACACUGGAACUGAGACACGGUCCAGACUCCUACGGGAGGCAGCAGUAGGGAAUCUUCCGCAAUGGGCGAAAGCCUGACGGAGCAACGCCGCGUGAGUGAUGAAGGUCUUCGGAUCGUAAAACUCUGUUAUUAGGGAAGAACAAAUGUGUAAGUAACUAUGCACGUCUUGACGGUACCUAAUCAGAAAGCCACGGCUAACUACGUG
This 497-nucleotide ribosomal RNA is filed under the name uncultured bacterium. Its description in RNAcentral is "partial 16S ribosomal RNA". It matches the Rfam family "Bacterial small subunit ribosomal RNA", at positions 28 to 507 of the family's 1533-position model. The record is from RNAcentral.